GAUGAACGCUAGCGGCAGGCUUAACACAUGCAAGUCGAGGGGUAGAGGCUUUCGGGCCUUGAGACCGGCGCACGGGUGCGUAACGCGUAUGCAAUCUGCCUUGUACAAAGGGAUAGCCCAGAGAAAUUUGGAUUAAUACCUUAUAGUAUAUCGAUGUGGCAUCACAUUGUUAUUAAAGAUUUAUCGGUACAAGAUGAGCA
This 200-nucleotide ribosomal RNA is filed under the name uncultured bacterium. RNAcentral describes it as "partial 16S ribosomal RNA". It matches the Rfam family "Bacterial small subunit ribosomal RNA", at positions 28 to 231 of the family's 1533-position model. The record is from RNAcentral.